RNAcentral lists this ribosomal RNA (1315 nucleotides) under Proctophyllodes stoddardi. RNAcentral's name for it is "partial 28S ribosomal RNA". It matches the Rfam family "Eukaryotic large subunit ribosomal RNA", at positions 123 to 1221 of the family's 3401-position model. The record is from RNAcentral. Lineage: Eukaryota; Metazoa; Arthropoda; Arachnida; Sarcoptiformes; Proctophyllodidae.
UGACAUCUACGAUGUUCAAGAGAUGCGGUGUUUAUGUAUCGACCCAUCGUGCAUUGUUCCAUAUUUCAAGUUCCUACGACCGGGACUUCCAGAGCGGGUGUAAGACCCAUAGAGAUGUGGAACCAAUGUAUGCUGAGCGAUGCAUUCUAGAGUCAGGUUGCUUGAGAGUGCAGCUUAAAGUCGGUGGUAAACUCCAUCCAAGACUAAAUAUUACAGCGAGACCGAUAGCAAACAAGUACCGUGAGGGAAAGUUGCAAAGCACUUUGAAGAGAGAGUUCAAAAGUACGUGAAACCACUGGGAGGCAAACAGAUGGAACCACGAAGUUGCGCUUCGGUCGAUUCAAUCAUCACUGCUGGUCAGUUGUUAAUAAUUAGGAUCUUUUCGAAGAUUGAUUAUUAACAUUUGAGAUAAGUAGUGUUGGUGCAUUUCGUGCCGAGGAUGCAAACCCACGUUCAACUAGAGUUGGGACGGCUGUAAGACAGAAUCUAAAAAAGGUGCCCGUCACAUGCUUGCAUUUGACGGCGUUAUAGUCUUGGAUUGGAACCGUCACCAAACAUACUGGUUGAUGUAAAUUCUCCAAUUUGGAGUUGAACCAUAUCUGCCUGUGAUUAUUAGUCAUUGUUGAGUAAUAUUCUUUGCGUAUCUUUCGAUGCGAAAAGAUGUUACGAAAUGUUGGCUAAUGGUUGCUUGCGUGAUAUGGUGGAACUGUGGCGCGAGUAGGUCGGUCUCCAUCUGACCCGUCUUGAAACACGGACCAAGGAGCCUAUCAUAUACGCGAGUCGCUCGGUCUUGUUUAGGCCUGAGAGGCAUAAUGAAAGUAAAGUUACGAAGCUUCGGCUGCAGUAAUGGCUCGCCCACUUUGUUUAUUGGCAAUAUGGCGAAGCUGGAGCGUAUACGAUGGUACCCGAAAGAUGGUGAACUAUGCCUGGGCAAGACGAAGCCAGAGGAAACUCUGGUGGAGGUCUGUAGCGAUUCUGACGUGCAAAUCGAUCGUCAGACCUGGGUAUAGGGGCGAAAGACUAAUCGAACCAUCUAGUAGCUGGUUCCCUCCGAAGUUUCCCUCAGGAUAGCAGGCGUUUAUUGAAGUAGUCUCAUCCGGUAAAGCUAAUGAUUAGAGGUCUUGGGGUUGAAACGACCUCAACCUAUUCUCAAACUUUAAAUGGGUGAGAUGGUUGACUUUCUUAGCUUUGAAGCCAACCAUUUGGAUACAAAUGCCUAGUGGGCCAUUUUUGGUAAGCAGAACUGGCGCUGUGGGAUGAACCAAACGUCGAGAUAAGGCAUCAAAUGCGUACGCUCAUCAGACCCCAUGAAAGG